RNAcentral lists this ribosomal RNA (427 nucleotides) under uncultured Gemmatimonadota bacterium. Its description in RNAcentral is "bacterial SSU rRNA". It matches the Rfam family "Bacterial small subunit ribosomal RNA", at positions 9 to 432 of the family's 1533-position model. The record is from RNAcentral. Lineage: Bacteria; Pseudomonadati; Gemmatimonadota.
GAGUUUGAUCGUGGCUCAGGACGAACGCUGGCGGCGUGCCUAACACAUGCAAGUCGUACGGGCUUGAGGGGCAACUCUCAAGUCAGUGGCGAACGGGUGCGUAACACGUGAGCAACUUGCCCUCAGGUGGGGGAUAGCCGGCCCAACGGCCGGGUAAUACCGCAUAUGGCAUCGAGGUCGCAUGGCCUUGAUGGGAAAGCGGCCGCAAGGUCGCGCCAGGGGAGGGGCUCGCGGCGUAUCAGCUAGUUGGCGGGGUAACGGCCCACCAAGGCUACGACGCGUAGCUGGUCUGAGAGGAUGGCCAGCCACAUUGGGACUGAGAUACGGCCCAGACUCCUACGGGAGGCAGCAGUGGGGAAUAUUGCGCAAUGGCCGAAAGGCUGACGCAGCGACGCCGCGUGUGGGAUGACGGCCUCGGUUGUAACCG